This is a non-coding RNA of Acanthosepion pharaonis, 105 nucleotides long. The record is from the annotation of a GenBank genome assembly. NCBI's taxonomy places the organism in Eukaryota, Metazoa, Mollusca, Cephalopoda, Sepiida, Sepiidae.
AGCUAUAUCGCGACGAAACACCGGUUCCCGUAUGAUCACCGAAGUUAAGCAACGUCGAGCUUGGUCAGUACCUAAAUGGAUGACUGCUUGAGAAUACCAGGUGCU